Tigriopus californicus is the source of this 2965-nucleotide long non-coding RNA. RefSeq lists it as uncharacterized. Lineage: Eukaryota; Metazoa; Arthropoda; Copepoda; Harpacticoida; Harpacticidae. The transcript has 2 exons. The record is from RefSeq and is a predicted model, not a curated record.
AAAGAACGAACAUGAGUUGUGAACAAUGUUGGAUGGCCGCAGUCUCCGGCACCAACGUGGGCAACGCCGUAGCUGUUCAAAGAAAACGAGACGAACAUGAAACAUGAAGGGAGCUUGGGAGUUGUGACCCACCUGGUGGAUUAUUUACCUGUGCCUUCUCCAUGGAAGAGCAGGGCGCCGGACUCACCAGUUUCAAGAAGAACGAGAAGUCACGUUCAAUGCGAUGAUAACCCUCCUGCUCCUCCUGCUAGUAAUAGCUGGUACAGUCUUAGCUUUUUGUUGUCCGAUGUUUCAAGUUAAAAGUACCUGAUGAUCCUCCUGUUGAGCGUUUCUCGUUCUCCCUUAGCCAACACACACACAUUCGAUGUAUGUACAUACACGCCUUGCUCGCGGAUCAAGUCGAGCAGAACAUGAGAAGAUUGGGAGUACUAGCGAACGACAACACGGCGUCAACGACGACAACGAUCAGAAGGAGGGGGAGGACGAGGUACAGAUCGAAAGGCAAGAAGAUACUACGAAGAACGAGGAGACGGAGGGAGAAGAAGCAGGAGAUGGGCCAGGCACGUCCCCCCGUAGGUCCAGCACCAAAGAUUCGGUUGAAAAAGGGGAAAACGCCUGUUGAGUUGGCAAAGGCAAAACCAAAACGGGAAUCCCACAGCACACAUGGGUAUGAUUUGGCCCUUCAACAUGGGACACUAACCAACUAAUGGUUACCAACAAUAAAACAACGCGAUCUCAGGCCCCUAAAAUGGAUAUGGACGGAGCUUAAAUAUGUGGAGCUCGAACUUACCCACGAGAUAUCACGAGGUCGGAGGUUGACUACUCCGAUCCAGUUAUCGAUGUGUUUGUGCACCACCCGUUCCACACUGUCUGUUGUCUGGGUUCCAGUGGCACUGCUAGGCGGCCUGCUCCUCGGCUCCUCCUGUGCUCCCCGAUCUGGCUCCACUCACAGGCUCCACUCGCUCCACUCGUCCUAGAAGCUCCUCCAAUGUACCACCAAGGAGGCACUAGGGCACCUAAGGUGCAUGGAUGGAUGGAUGGAUAGAUCAAGGAUGGAGCACGACUCCUAGGUGGCUGCUCGCUCGGCAGUGCGCGGCUCAUGCCUCCGCUCCCAUUUCCUGGCAAAGCUGGCCCAACGCGCAUGAACCAAAAAAGGGCAAGUAAGCCUCAGGAAGGAACCCAGAACAGGGCCAAGCGAAGACUCCCGUCAUUCUUGAGUGGCUCGACGGCGGUCCCGCUCCUCUCACCUCUACUCCGGCUCCACUGGCGGUGGCCAGCCAACUCACGUGGGGACACUUUUUCCCUUCCUCGCCUCUUUCGCCGGCUUCCGCAGGGAAUGGGCCACAAACGAGUCGAACGAGACCAACGGCGCCGGCACUUGUGCUCGUCCCUCUUAUGUUCCUGGUCCAUUCAUCCAUCCAUCCAUCCAUCCAUCCAUCCAACGAUGUAUCGUGGAUGAUGGUGCUGAAGAUGAUGACGAGGGAGCAACAGGCCGUUUGGGCUGGGGCUGCUCGCCUUCGUGUUCCAAGGGCUUCGAUCGGCCUGGGCCUGGGUGGGUCGUCCAAGGACUCGUCGUAGGUUGUGGUGCCAUGGAGCGGGGCACGUAAUUUAGAUUGGGACGCCAUCUCACCAAACAGGAAUGCAUUGAGCAGGGUAAUACCCUCCCAACGAACGAGAUUGUGCUCUGCGAACGGAACGAGAUCUAGGACGGACGGAGCUCGGGAGGCAAAGAAUACCACAUGAUGGUGCUGGGUAAUGAUCGUGGGAUGGGGGGAGUUGGGGACUGAGCCGAGUGGCUGAAUGCCGAGUUGGUCGUGGAGCACCACGACCAACGAGUCUGUCCAUUGAGGCGGGGAAAUGUUCUCGCCCGUCUUCCACCUGGGUUGCUCUGGAGCAGGAUUUAUCGUGCCAAAGUGGCGAAGACUGGAUGGAAUUUGUGGGAAUUCGGGACUGGAGCACAAAGAACUGGGCUGAUGAGAACCCCAUAGAGCAAACUAGCUGAUGCUGAGAACAGGGAAACAGAGGAGGGCUUGGGAGCAAGGCAGAGAGUCCAAAGUCUGGUUUGGCUUCCUGUGUCAGAGAUUGGGGUCGGACAAGGGGCACAUCUUGAACCUUAGCUCAAAAAGAACAUAAGCAUUGAAUUCAAUUUCCAACGGUCUGAAACAAUCAUUCUGAGCCUUGCGAGAAACAAAGAAAUGGAACAUACUUUUGAAUCAUCUGCGUUGCAGUCUUCAUAUUUCACCAUUCAGAGUAGAGUGGAAGGAGGGUCUCGUUGAACACCGAUCAAAGCGUUAAUUUUGGAACAAAGGAAAUGAGUUUGCAUGGAAUUGAAAAAUGUCGGUGAUUGGAACAAAUAUAUGGUGUAAUAUUAAUUUGGGAUCAUUAUCCAAUAUGUUUGAAAAAUGAAAGCCGAGGUGCGAUUAAAACGAUCAUAGAGCGGCUUUUUUGAUAGAUAGUAGCGCACAUACAACAAUGAGAAGUGACAAUUAUUAUUAUGUUCAAACCCUCCCAAAACUGCGCUGAAGGGACUCCAAGGAUGAUUUGAAAAACUGUCAUCAAAUCGAUUCAUACUUCCAACUACUUGACGUUUCAAAAAAGGGAACAUAUUUGUAGAGGUUGGGUGACUGACAGCCCGACUAAGAUCGAAGGUUUUUAACGCUCCUCAGGAGCGGUGUAUUCUUUAUUUUUCAGUUAAUGUAUUACAUUUUUUUGAGAGCUUCUCAUCUGUCAUUCAAUGACCGUCAAGAACGCUGAGGUACUUUUUCUCCACAAGUAAUGGAAUGAUCAUGUGCCGAACUGGAAGAAAGAACAAGAUCACCAAGGGGAAGAUCAUUUUCGCGUACGGCCAAGGGGCAAAUCCAAAUGCGCAAAGAACCAAUAACUGACCACAUUGGCACAGAGUGAAAGUGUGGAUUUUUCUCUGAGGAACUUGUCUGAUGUAAUGGUUGGGUGGGUAUGCAGCUUG